AAUUCAGUCACAAGGAGUUGUUUGAUUUCUAUAACAAGCUAGAGACUAUACAAGCACAGCUGGAUUCCCUUACAUGAUGUUUUCGAAGACUGUUUUUUUCAUCACGCUCCUGCCAUCUCAUUAUUUUGCAUUGAAGAUACAUUGCCAGCUACUGCAGCCGUGGAACUAAGUGUUGCUAAUGAAUUGUGAAUGGAAGUGAUCAUUCAUCUCCAGUUAUCUUCCCCUUUCUGUGAUUGAAACCCAGAUUUGGAGCUGAGUCAGCUUUGAGCAGGCAAGAAUGCUAAUGCUUAAGAGCCACAGCUUGUUCUCGGCUCUCUCCCUGCAUGAAUCAACAGCAGUCCCAGGAUAGGCAGAGACCAUCAGGAACUUAACCUUCACACAGAGAGAGACUCCAGAUCUCAGAGAGCAGUGCUCAAGAUUCCAAGACAGAACCCUGGGAUUUUCUACUAUGUUUUUUCAGGGAGCCAAGGCAUGGAAUCCUUCAUUAAGUGGGGAAGAACCAACAGAAUUUGUUCCACAUAUUCCUCUGACACAUCCCCAAAAGCAUGACUUCUAGCCUGAAUCCUACAAUG
RNAcentral lists this small RNA (572 nucleotides) under Pan troglodytes (chimpanzee). Its description in RNAcentral is "processed transcript". Lineage: Eukaryota; Metazoa; Chordata; Mammalia; Primates; Hominidae. The record is from RNAcentral.